AACGAACGCUGGCGGCAGGCCUAACACAUGCAAGUCGAGCGCUCCGCAAGGGGGAGUGGCGCACGGGUGAGUAACACGUGGGAACCUACCUUCUGGUACGGAACAACCAAGGGAAACUUUGGCUAAGACCGUAUACGACCUCCGGGUGAAAGAUUGAUCGCCGGAAGAGGGGCCCGCGUCCGAUUAGGUAGUUGGUGAGGUAACGGCUCACCAAGCCUUCGAUCGGUAGCUGGUCUGAGAGGAUGACCAGCCACACUGGGACUGAGACACGGCCCAGACUCCUACGGGAGGCAGCAGUGGGGAAUAUUGGACAAUGGGCGCAAGCCUGAUCCAGCCAUGCCGCGUGAGUGAUGAAGGCCUU
Molecule: ribosomal RNA, 361 nt
Filed under: uncultured bacterium
Lineage: Bacteria
Description: bacterial SSU rRNA
Rfam family: Bacterial small subunit ribosomal RNA
Source: RNAcentral